GCCCUGGAAGGAGACAUGAGAUUUAAAUCCAGACAGUUUGACCCCAAUGCCUGAGUUUCAAAUUAAUUACAGUUUCUCUUUCAUACCUUGCUGUUUGCUUUAACUAUUACCAUUAUCAAAUGUAAUUGUAAAAAACAACUUAUAAUUAUUUGCUACCUUUUCCAGCAUGAGAUCAUUAUGCUUGAUUCCACAGUCACUAUCCUACAUCUGGUCAAAAGUCAUAUCCAUCACUUCGUUAUGGAAAUCAGUGAGAAUACAAGGAACAGAAUCUAGAGUAGAAGUCAAUUCUCUGUAUCUUCACUCGAGUCACAAGCUGUGGUGACUAACAGGGGCUACUCCACAGCUAGCAGAUGGAGAGCCAGAAAAGAAAUGGGAGCCGUUCCAGAAAACUCUCCGAGGUGAAGGGCAAGCACAGUCAGAAGUUCUUAUGGUUUCACCUCCCGCUUCCAACCGUGGAGGACCCAAGUCUUUGCCACGCCCGAGAAAGCCCGUCUUAGCAUCAUCCGGAAGCACAAGGUCUAGAGGGGCAGAGAACCGAACACCAAUAAAGCUUCUGGUGCUUCCUCCUUUA
Molecule: long non-coding RNA, 571 nt
Organism: Prionailurus viverrinus (fishing cat)
Lineage: Eukaryota; Metazoa; Chordata; Mammalia; Carnivora; Felidae
Exons: 3
Source: RefSeq, a predicted model, not a curated record